CUCAGGUCAAUAGCCGGUCUUGUUAAGUAGUUCGUGACCGCAUGCACAGUGGAGACUGCACGACAGUAGAAACAGGGAUUUCGGUCUGCGGAACCAAGAAUGGACAGAGGCAGCAGGGCCCAAGAACGACUACCACGUGGAAGGAUGGUACCACAAGCUCUACAAGCUCCUGGGUGUAUGGAAGAAUGGGCAAACCUACACUGAAAUUAACAUUCUUCAACUCCAAGAAACCGGCAUGACCAAGCCUAGAAAGAAGAAAUACCAUCUCCUUGGACUUUUUCCCAGACCUAGUAAUACCUUGAAAACAGUUUCUAGAUGGUGACAUUGUAUGUUUUACCCAGAUGCUUCCUCCCAUGGAGUUCCUGACUAUGUAUGUACCCGAGUGUCCCAUGUUUUUUUAUUUGGGUAUCUGAAAACC
Molecule: unclassified non-coding RNA, 418 nt
Filed under: Haliotis rufescens (red abalone)
Lineage: Eukaryota; Metazoa; Mollusca; Gastropoda; Lepetellida; Haliotidae
Description: 3-[(3aS,4S,7aS)-7a-methyl-1,5-dioxo-octahydro-1H- inden-4-yl]propanoyl:CoA ligase-like, transcript variant X2
Source: RNAcentral